Molecule: unclassified non-coding RNA, 273 nt
Filed under: Hevea brasiliensis (rubber tree)
Lineage: Eukaryota; Viridiplantae; Streptophyta; Magnoliopsida; Malpighiales; Euphorbiaceae
Source: RNAcentral
CAGUUCAUGGAAGAAACUAAAUGCAUGACUGUUGAUACUAUGAUGUCUUCUUUGAAUGUUGGAGGAUGCCGUUAAUCUAAUUUGGCAGUUUUUGUGAGUACGGUGAAAGCCGCCUGAACUUACUGGUGAAAAGAUGGCAUACAUGUUCACUCUCUUUGAUUUUGAUUUUGAUUUUGAUAGGAUGAAUCAUUAGAAGACUACCGGCAGUUUUAUGAUUUAUUGAUGACUUAUCCUAUUUAUGUGCAUGUUUUGGCUUACCAGGACAUUUUCACC